AUUGAACGCUGGCGGCAGGCCUAACACAUGCAAGUCGAAUGGUAACAGGAAACAGCUUGCUGUUUCGCUGACGAGUGGCGGACGGGUGAGUAAUGUCUGGGAAACUGCCUGAUGGAGGGGGAUAACUACUGGAAACGGUAGCUAAUACCGCAUAACGUCGCAAGACCAAAGAGGGGGACCUUCGGGCCUCUUGCCAUCAGAUGUGCCCAGAUGGGAUUAGCUAGUAGGUGGGGUAACGGCUCACCUAGGCGACGAUCCCUAGCUGGUCUGAGAGGAUGACCAGCCACACUGGAACUGAGACACGGUCCAGACUCCUACGGGAGGCAGCAGUGGGGAAUAUUGCACAAUGGGCGCAAGCCUGAUGCAGCCAUGCCGCGUGUAUGAAGAAGGCCU
Molecule: ribosomal RNA, 393 nt
Filed under: uncultured bacterium
Lineage: Bacteria
Description: bacterial SSU rRNA
Rfam family: Bacterial small subunit ribosomal RNA
Source: RNAcentral